RNAcentral lists this ribosomal RNA (497 nucleotides) under uncultured bacterium. RNAcentral's name for it is "partial 16S ribosomal RNA". It matches the Rfam family "Bacterial small subunit ribosomal RNA", at positions 28 to 507 of the family's 1533-position model. The record is from RNAcentral.
GAUGAACGCUGGCGGCGUGCCUAAUACAUGCAAGUCGAGCGAACGGACGAUAAGCUUUCUUCUCUGCUGUUAGCGGCUGACGGGUGAGUAACACGUGGAUAACCUACCUCUAUGUCUUGGAUAACUUCGUGAAACCGCAUCUAAUACCAGAUGAUAUUUUGAACCGCAUGGUUCAAAAGUUAUAGACGGUCUUGCUGUCACUUAUAGAUGGAUCCGCGCUGCAUUAGCUAGUUGGUAAGGUAACGGCUUACCAAGGCAACGAUGCAUAGCCGACCUGAGAGGGUGAUCGGCCACACUGGAACUGAGACACGGUCCAGACUCCUACGGGAGGCAGCAGUAGGGAAUAUUGCGCAAUGGGCGAAAGCCUGACGGAGCAACGCCGCGUGAGUGAUGAAGGUCUUCGGAUUGUAAAACUCUGUUAUUGGGGAAGAACAGAAGUGUAAGUAAAUGUGGACAUCUUGACGGUACCUAAUCAGAAAGCCACGGCUAACUACGUG